GGUAGCGUAAUCACUUGUUCUUUAAAUGAGGACUAGUAUGAAUGGCACCACGAAGGUUUUACUGUCUCCUUUUCCUAAUCAGUGAAACUAAUCUUCCCGUGAAGAAGCGGGAAUAAGCGAAUAAGACGAGAAGACCCUAUGGAGCUUUAAACACAAUAACAAAUACUACUUUAAACAAAAAUUUCUUAAUGACUUACUCCCUGGUAUUAUGAUUAUUAGUUUUAGGUUGGGGUGACCGCGGAGAAAAACACAACCUCCACAUUGAAUGAUAAAAUUCUAAGCAAAGAAUCACAUUUCCACGCAUCAAUACAUUGACAUCAAUUGACCCAAUUAUUUUGAUCAACGAACCAAGUUACCCUAGGGAUAACAGCGCAAUCUACUUCAAGAGCCCAUAUCGACAAGUGGGUUUACGACCUCGAUGUUGGAUCAGGGUACCCCAGUGGUGCAGCCGCUACUAAAGGUUCGUUUGUUCAACGAUU
RNAcentral lists this ribosomal RNA (479 nucleotides) under Atelopus hoogmoedi. Its description in RNAcentral is "partial large subunit ribosomal RNA". It matches the Rfam family "Bacterial large subunit ribosomal RNA", at positions 1955 to 2589 of the family's 2925-position model. Lineage: Eukaryota; Metazoa; Chordata; Amphibia; Anura; Bufonidae. The record is from RNAcentral.